AAUAAUCCCAACUAGCAGCAUGCAUUCAACAUGUAACAGUAAACACCAAAUGGCCUCCGGCCUCACAAAUAAAACCUUACAUGGGCAUUAACAGACAUCUACUGAAUUUAGUUUACAAGAACAACCAGUUGAGUAGAAAGAAAUUACUCAAAGUCUAAUCUACUGAUGAUCACGAUUCGGGGUCUCGAACACGGCUUGCAAU
Molecule: long non-coding RNA, 202 nt
Filed under: Prunus persica (peach)
Lineage: Eukaryota; Viridiplantae; Streptophyta; Magnoliopsida; Rosales; Rosaceae
Description: long non-coding RNA (PPER_LNC004070)
Source: RNAcentral